RNAcentral lists this ribosomal RNA (405 nucleotides) under uncultured bacterium. RNAcentral's name for it is "partial 16S ribosomal RNA". It matches the Rfam family "Bacterial small subunit ribosomal RNA", at positions 33 to 526 of the family's 1533-position model. The record is from RNAcentral.
GACGACGCUGGCGGCGUGCCUAAUACAUGCAAGUAGGACGAGUUGCGAACGGUUGAGUAAUGUCUGGGAAAUUGCCUGAAGGAGGGGGAUAACUACUGGAAACGGUAGCUAAUACCGCAUACCAUCGGAUGUGUCCAGAUGGGAUUAGCUAGUAGGGGGGGUAAAGGCUCACAGAGGCGACGAUCCCUAGCUGGGCUGAGAGGAUGACCAGCCACACUGGAACUGAGACACGGUCCAGACUCCUACGGGAGGCAGCAGUGGGGAAUAUUGCACAAUGGGCGCAAGCCUGAUGCAGCCAUGCCGCGUGUAUGAAGAAGGCCUUCGGGUUGUAAAGUACUUUCAGCGGGGAGGCGUUACCCGCAGAAGAAGCACCGGCUAACUCCGUGCCAGCAGCCGCGGUAAUAC